RNAcentral lists this long non-coding RNA (365 nucleotides) under Phaseolus vulgaris (common bean). RNAcentral's name for it is "long non-coding RNA (PVUL_LNC003985)". The record is from RNAcentral. Lineage: Eukaryota; Viridiplantae; Streptophyta; Magnoliopsida; Fabales; Fabaceae.
GUGAUUCCAAUAGCCACAUAGAACAAGAUUCUUGACACUUUGAGGAAUCACCUUGAGCUGGAAAAUAUAGAGGCACUUUCUUAGAAGUUGGAUCAUGGUUCUAAGUCAAGAACUCACCAAUACAAGUACCAAUUCCCAAACUCAUUUGGAUGAACCAAAUAUUGUCAAAUUGAAUCAACAAAGGAAUUAUAAAAGAGAAGACCGAACAGAAUUAAACCACAAACAAAUGUACCGAACAGAAUUUAGAAAACCAAAACAUAGGUGCUGGAAAAUUAAGGACAGCCGAACCAAAAAAUGCUCAAGAACACAAAACAACAAGAGUAAUUGAAAGAGAAGAAAGGAAGGAGAAGAGAAUGCUCAUGAAG